CUGCUCACUGACAUAAAGUGUUAAAUAGCCGCGGUAUCUUGACCGUGCAAAGGUAGCAUAAUCAUUAGUUUCUUAAUUGGGAACUUGUAUGAAUGGUUGGACAAAGAAAAAUCUGUCUCUUAUAUUAAAAUUGAAUUUAACUUCUAAGUGAAAAGGCUUAGAUUAACCAGAGGGACGAUAAGACCCUAUAAAGCUUUAUAAAUUUAUUAAUUUCGUCUAUUUUUCUUAUAAUGAUGAUAUUGAGAAGAUUUAUUUGGUUGGGGCAACCGAAGUAUAAUUAAAGAUAACUGCUACUAUUUUAUACAAUGAUUUUUGUUUAGAUGAUAAUUGAUCCUUAAAAAGAUUAAAGACCAAGUUACUUUAGGGAUAACAGCGUAAUUUAUCCUGAGAGUUCUUAUCAAAGGAGAAGUUUGCGACCUCGAUGUUGAAUUAAAAUGUCUAUUCAGUGCAGCAGCUGAAAAAGAAGGUCUGUUCGACCUUUAAUUUUUUACAUGAUUUGAGUUCAGACCGGCGUAAGCCAGGUUGGUUUCUAUCUUCUGGAGAUUAGUAAGUCACCUUAGUACGAAAGGACUUGGCGACUAAAAUUUUUUUAAAAUUUUUGAAAU
This 605-nucleotide ribosomal RNA is filed under the name Callinectes ornatus (shelligs). RNAcentral describes it as "partial 16S ribosomal RNA". It matches the Rfam family "Bacterial large subunit ribosomal RNA", at positions 1859 to 2762 of the family's 2925-position model. The record is from RNAcentral. Lineage: Eukaryota; Metazoa; Arthropoda; Malacostraca; Decapoda; Portunidae.